Molecule: signal recognition particle RNA, 148 nt
Filed under: Gorilla gorilla gorilla (western lowland gorilla)
Lineage: Eukaryota; Metazoa; Chordata; Mammalia; Primates; Hominidae
Description: Metazoan signal recognition particle RNA
Rfam family: Metazoan signal recognition particle RNA
About the family: The signal recognition particle (SRP) is a universally conserved ribonucleoprotein.
Source: Rfam by way of RNAcentral
GCCAGGCAUGGUGGCGCAUGCCUGUAAUCCCAGCUACUCAGGAGGCUGAGGCAGGAGAAUCGCUUGAACCCGGGAGGUGGAGGUUGCAGUGAGCCGAGAUCGCGCCACUGCACUGUAACUUGGGUGACAGAGUGAGACCCUGUCUCAC